GACGAACGCUGGCGGCGUGCUUAACACAUGCAAGUCGAACGGUGAAGCCCAGCUUGCUGGGUGGAUUAGUGGCGAACGGGUGAGUAACACGUGGGCAACCUGCCCCAAACUCUGGGAUAACUCCUCGAAAGAGGUGCUAAUACCGGAUACGAACUAGGCAGCCAUCUGUACUAGUUGGAAAGUUUUUCGGUUUGGGAUAGGCCCGCGGCCUAUCAGCUUGUUGGUGAGGUAACGGCUCACCAAGGCUACGACGGGUAACCGGCCUGAGAGGGCGACCGGUCACACUGGGACUGAGACACGGCCCAGACUCCUACGGGAGGCAGCAGUGGGGAAUAUUGCGCAAUGGGCGAAAGCCUGACGCAGCGACGCCGCAUGAGGGAUGAAGGUCUUCGGAUCGUAAACCUCUUUCAGUAGGGACGAAGCGAAAGUGACGGUACCUAAAGAAAAAGCACCGGCUAACUACGUGCCAGCCGCCGCGGUAA
This 482-nucleotide ribosomal RNA is filed under the name uncultured bacterium. RNAcentral describes it as "partial 16S ribosomal RNA". It matches the Rfam family "Bacterial small subunit ribosomal RNA", at positions 28 to 523 of the family's 1533-position model. The record is from RNAcentral.